Molecule: ribosomal RNA, 1434 nt
Filed under: uncultured organism
Description: 16S ribosomal RNA
Rfam family: Bacterial small subunit ribosomal RNA
Source: RNAcentral
GUGCUUAACACAUGCAAGUCGAACGGAAAGGCCCUGCUUUUGUGGGGUGCUCGAGUGGCGAACGGGUGAGUAACACGUGAGUAACCUGCCCUUGACUUUGGGAUAACUUCAGGAAACUGGGGCUAAUACCGGAUAGGAGCUCCUGCUGCAUGGUGGGGGUUGGAAAGUUUCGGCGGUUGGGGAUGGACUCGCGGCUUAUCAGCUUGUUGGUGGGGUAGUGGCUUACCAAGGCUUUGACGGGUAGCCGGCCUGAGAGGGUGACCGGCCACAUUGGGACUGAGAUACGGCCCAGACUCCUACGGGAGGCAGCAGUGGGGAAUAUUGCACAAUGGGCGGAAGCCUGAUGCAGCAACGCCGCGUGCGGGAUGACGGCCUUCGGGUUGUAAACCGCUUUCGCCUGUGACGAAGCGUGAGUGACGGUAAUGGGUAAAGAAGCACCGGCUAACUACGUGCCAGCAGCCGCGGUGAUACGUAGGGUGCGAGCGUUGUCCGGAUUUAUUGGGCGUAAAGGGCUCGUAGGUGGUUGAUCGCGUCGGAAGUGUAAUCUUGGGGCUUAACCCUGAGCGUGCUUUCGAUACGGGUUGACUUGAGGAAGGUAGGGGAGAAUGGAAUUCCUGGUGGAGCGGUGGAAUGCGCAGAUAUCAGGAGGAACACCAGUGGCGAAGGCGGUUCUCUGGGCCUUUCCUGACGCUGAGGAGCGAAAGCGUGGGGAGCGAACAGGCUUAGAUACCCUGGUAGUCCACGCUGUAAACGGUGGGUACUAGGUGUGGGGUCCAUUCCACGGGUUCCGUGCCGUAGCUAACGCUUUAAGUACCCCGCCUGGGGAGUACGGCCGCAAGGCUAAAACUCAAAGGAAUUGACGGGGCCCCGCACAAGCGGCGGAGCAUGCGGAUUAAUUCGAUGCAACGCGUAGAACCUUACCUGGGUUUGACAUGGAUCGGGAGUGCUCAGAGAUGGGUGUGCCUCUUUUGGGGUCGGUUCACAGGUGGUGCAUGGCUGUCGUCAGCUCGUGUCGUGAGAUGUUGGGUUAAGUCCCGCAACGAGCGCAACCCUUGUUCACUGUUGCCAGCACGUUAUGGUGGGGACUCAGUGGAGACCGCCGGGGUCAACUCGGAGGAAGGUGGGGAUGACGUCAAGUCAUCAUGCCCCUUAUGUCCAGGGCUUCACGCAUGCUACAAUGGCUGGUACAGAGAGUGGCGAGCCUGUGAGGGUGAGCGAAUCUCGGAAAGCCGGUCUCAGUUCGGAUUGGGGUCUGCAACUCGACCUCAUGAAGUCGGAGUCGCUAGUAAUCGCAGAUCAGCAACGCUGCGGUGAAUACGUUCCCGGGGCUUGUACACACCGCCCGUCAAGUCAUGAAAGUUGGUAACACCCGAAGCCGGUGGCCUAACCGAAUGUGGGGGAGCCGUCGAAGGUGGGACUGGUGAUUAGGACUAA